RNAcentral lists this ribosomal RNA (854 nucleotides) under Asterostomella grewiae. Its description in RNAcentral is "partial large subunit ribosomal RNA". It matches the Rfam family "Eukaryotic large subunit ribosomal RNA", at positions 68 to 939 of the family's 3401-position model. The record is from RNAcentral. Lineage: Eukaryota; Fungi; Ascomycota; Dothideomycetes; Asterinales; Asterinaceae.
ACAGGGAUUGCCUCAGUAACGGCGAGUGAAGCGGCAGCAGCUCAAAUUUGAAAUCUGGCCCCCCCCCACGGGGCCCGAGUUGUAAUUUGCAGAGGAUGCUUCGGGGCGGGCCCCGGCCCGAGUCCCUUGGAACAGGGCGCCGUAGAGGGUGAGGSCCCCGUACACGGCCGGACGCCCGCCCCGUGCGAAGCUCCCUCGACGAGUCGAGUUGUUUGGGAAUGCAGCUCCAAGCGGGAGGUAUAUUCCUCCCAAGGCUAAAUACCGGCCGGAGACCGAUAGCGCACAAGUAGAGUGAUCGAAAGAUGAAAAGCACUUUGGAAAGAGAGUUAAAAAGUACGUGAAAUUGUUGAAAGGGAAGCGUUUGCGGCCAGACCUGGUGGCGGUCGCUCAGCCGGUCCCUCUCGGGCCGGCGCACUCUUCCGCCACCUGGCCAGCAUCGGUCCGGGCGGCCGGACAAAGGCCGGGGGAACGUGGCCCCCCCGCGGGGUGUUAAAGCCCCCGGCACAAUGCGGCCCGCCCGGACCGAGGACAGCGUUCGCUAGGAUGCUGGCGUAAUGGCAGCCAACGGCCCGUCUUGAAACACGGACCAAGGAGUCUAGCACGCGCGCGAGUGUCCGGGUGCCAAACCCUCACGCGCAAUGAAAGUGAACGGAGGUGGGAGCCCCCGCGCACCAUCGACCGAUCCCGAUGUCUUCGGAAGGAUUUGAGUAUGAGCGCGCGUGCUGGGACCCGAAAGAUGAUGAACUAUGCCCUGGAUAGGCUGAAGCCGCCCGAAAGGGCGGUGGAGGCCCGCAGCGGUUCUGACGUGCAAAUCGAUCGUCAAAUCUGGGUAUAGGGGCGAAAGACUAAUCGAA